Molecule: long non-coding RNA, 5690 nt
Filed under: Gossypium barbadense (sea-island cotton)
Lineage: Eukaryota; Viridiplantae; Streptophyta; Magnoliopsida; Malvales; Malvaceae
Description: long non-coding RNA (GBAR_LNC015510)
Source: RNAcentral
CCUUCCAUCGACAAUCAUUUUGUCUCCCACUAUGGAACCAGUUGGUUCCAACUUAACCGAAGCAGAAUUGGAUGUCAACUAAUUACCAACAUGCCAUAAAAUUUUCCAAGUUUUCCAAUAGAGUUCACCAACUUACUAUUUUAUUCAAUUAUCUCCUAACAUUUCCUAGAGUUUGGGACUUAAACGAAAACCGGGUGUGACAACUCCCCUACCCUUAAAGAAAAUUUUGUCUUCAGAAUUUCCUCUCGUGACUAAUCCUAUAAGUGGACUCUGGGUAAUUACUCUUUCUUUUGAUGUCUCCGUUCUUAACUUAGAGGAAGAUACUACUACUUUUCCCUAAUGCUUUAACGUUGAUCACUUAUAUAUAGAUUCACCCUAAACCCAUCCCACUUGACUGGCGGACCCUUCUAUACUCUAUAUGUAGCAGAUAAUUGCAUAAAGAUAACCUUACUAUUAUCCUAGCAGAGUCUCUGGCUUACACCUUGUGCUAGAUCGUUGCCCAAUAUAAUGCUACUUGGCGGAUUCUUAUUGUCGAAUACAGAUUGGCAGGUACUCACUAGACAUCUGGCUUUGGUGAAUACCCCCACUUCUGCAUACCAAGGGGUUAAUUAAAAACCCUUCCCACAAUGGACAGGUGUUAGUUGUGGGUUUGAUGACUCAAAUAGUCUGUUUCAGAUUUGAACUCAAGCAUCUCUUAGACUUUUGGCUAUUUAAAUCGAGGCGCAGAGAAAUGAAACUCUUUCAUCUAAAAUCAUCUCCCCAAAUUUCUUGCUGAUUAAGUUUCAUUUUGAAUCCUUAAAUUUCCUUUUUUACCUUUUUCAAUUUCGUUGCCUAAGCUUUGUUUCCAUUCCUUUCUCAGAUAACUUCUCAAUUUUUCCUUUCCAAGUAAUCUUUUGAUCUUCUCUCUUUCUUUCAUCUCACCAUAAUGGUUAGAAUUAAAAAUAGUAACUAUGAGGAUAGAAGUAAUCGUAAUAGUCACAAUCAAAAGGAUCAUGAAGGUGGUGCUAUAGAGGUGACAAGGCUAGGCCUAGUAACCGCGAAGUAAGUGCCCCAGUGGAGACCCCCUUUUCAAGUGUCCAACAGCUUGGAAGAAGAUGGUCAAACAUUUGGGUCUUAGGGGAAUACAAGUGUCCAACUUUGCUUAUGAAUUUAGCAUCGUCCACGGUGAAUGCUGACUAAGUGAAACUUUCGAAUGAAUCAUCCUUCCCCUUUACCCGUUCGAGGCUGGGUUUCACCUCUCAUUACAUAAUUUUUUCCGUACAGUACUAAAUAAAUAUGGAAUUGUGGAGGGACAACUCGUCGGUUUAUCUUGGUGGACUAUGGUUUCAUACUUUAUCAACUGUAGCCUUAGGAACAAGCCACCUAGUCUAGGCAUGUUCCCAUGAAUCUACCAAUUGAAAGUUACCACUCGAGGUGCCACUGCUGGGAUGGCACACUUUAACACUCGCAAGGACACGACCCAAUUGUUAAAAACUAGGCUUUAAACUUCCACCUUAAUUAGAAAAAGUUCAUCCGAUAAGACAAUCCGCUGAAAAGACGUGGCCCUACAAUGCCACUAAUGACCUGGCCGCCAUAUUAGUAGGGAGGAAAGAUAAAGCCCCACACCUCUUCUACAUUGUGUGCAAGCUACACGUAGGACGCUGGUCUACACUGCCAGUAGUUGUCAUAGGUGAGUCUUCUAGUGGUUGUUUAUUUUUACGUAUGGUUUACACAAUAUUUCUACUAUAGGUUCUGUUUAAUCUUCCACUCCAACCCAAUCCUCUUAGCUAAGAAGUAUGAACAUGGAGGAUUUAAUAGAGAGGGCACAAGAGGUUGUUUCUGUGAUGGAUACUAGAGCACAGACAGGCAGUAAUAACCGUAAGAGGUUGAGAGUUGAAGGUAGCUCACAGAUUACAGGGGAAAGUAGUGGUAGUAGGUUGCUCCUCCAUAGAUGUGGCAAGAAACCAGCCAAUCCUAAAAGGGAAAUCACUCAGCCAUUCCUACCUUCUCAUCUCAAGAUUAGUCAGAGUCCGCCACUCCAGUGGACUUAACUCCCUUUGCCCAAUGUCUGCUUGAAGAGCCCACUCCCAGCAUUACCCAUUUUGUUCUGUUGUCCACCCCUACUGGCUCAAUGGCAAUUCUCUUUUCUUCUAGAGGAGCAUCAAGUUUGUUCCCAUAGAGAGACAUCUUUAACUCUAGUCAGUCUCCUUUUUAUCCACUUGAGGUCAGCCAACGAUGGUAGAUGAUUCUGCCUCAAGAGCUGAAGGAUUGCACCUUCCCUUCUUAUUUUGGAGCCCGCCAACCAACUUUACCAAAAUUGGUGGAUACCUACCAAAUUAUGGUGAAAGAAUGCAAACUCUUGGCUGGGCCCUUCGCCGGCACUAUAGUGGAAGUGAAACUAGAUGGUCUGAACUAUAAAAGACCUUGGCUUCCAAAAUUCAAGAGCUAGCCCAGCUAUGCCAAACCUAUGAUACCACAGCCUACCAGAACAAUGAGCUUGUCGAAUUAGUACUGUUACAUCCCAGAUUUUUAUUAAUAUGUACGCAAGAUUGAAAACAAGGGAAUGUGUAGUCUAGUGGUUUAAAGACUUCUUAGCUAAACUAGAGGUCCAAGGUUUAAGUCCUAAUGUUCACACUCUCCUAAUUAUUUUUUUACAAUUUUCCCAUGUGCACUAAUGCUUGCCGCAACUCCCUUUUUUGCCUCAUAUAAGUUGACUCCUUUCCUCUAUUAAGAGUCAAACUUACCCUAAGUUAGGGGUACAUGAUCCCCUUUUCACUCCAUGUCUCCUUCCCUUACCAAAACCUCUCAUCUUGCCUAUUUGAUGUGAUUCAUUGAACCUGGUCACAGUUGACCAAGCUUUACACACCCAUUGUUGUCCCUACCUCUCUCAUUUCUCCUAUAUUCUCAUUUUUUUUCAUUUUCUUUCAUCUCCAUUUUCUCUCCAUUUGAUAAACCACCACCUUCAACCACCACCUGAACUUCCUCCAUCAUGGGCUAUAGUUUCACCACCUCGACACCACCUCCUAAUAUUCUCUUCUCCUCCUCAUUUCUUACGAUCACUGCCCCUCACCACCACCAUCGCCAUUGUGAACCGAUGUGAACCACCGCGAGAAACCCUUCCUCCUCUGCUCAUUUUCUUUUCUCUUUUCUCUUAACUUUGUGAUCGAACCCUCUUCCCCUUUUUUAUAUAUUUUUCUCACCUCAUUGAGACCACUGCUAAACCAUCGCCAGACCGUCGCCAUUGUCGUUUUCUGUCGGGAUUUAAUUUUUCUUUCUUUCUUUCCCUUUCGAUCUCUCCCAUCUUCUCUAAGGAUUUAAUUAUCCUAUUUUAAUUAUUUUGGGUUCAAAACUUUUUAAUCAUAUAUUUUUGUAAAUCAUUAAACCUUUUCACUCUUUCGUUAAGUCUAAUCAUCGAUCUCGUUGUAUUGUUGAGGAGUGUAAGUGUUUGAGGGGUCUUAGGAACAUUCCUUUCUCUCUAUUAUUUUUCUUCAUAGCCAAAUGGUGUUAAGACACAUUCAUUUUUCAUGUAUUAACACUUUGUUCAUAUAUUCUUUGAAGGACCAAACAAUGUAAAUCCAAGAAAUCCUUAACGAGUUAAUGAGUGCAUCAAAUCCAAGUGUUGAUUUAAGGCUAAGUAAUUGAUGAGAAUUAUUUCAAUGAUUAAACUUUAAGUAUUAAGACACAUUCGAUAGUUCUAAAACUAAAAUAUGUGUUUGAUGCGAUAGAUUCAUCUACCGGGUUUAGAUCCAAGUGAAACCUCUUCUAAUAGGAUUGUGGCAAUCGAAUUUACGAUUUAAGGUGUGAGAUCUAAAUAUUUGAUUUGAGUAUUAUUUUAUUAUUAAAUAAAAAACUAUUAAAUAAUUAUUUGAGAGUACACUAAGUACUCAAAGGGGAGUUGACAAACUUAUCAAAAGGGAAAUUCCAAGUAAGUGUUCCUAAAAUUAUUAGUUCAUGAAAUCUAUGAUUCAUGAUGUGUUGAUGUAUGUGAUGAUGACAUGUGUACAAAUCACAUAUUUAUGUUAUGUGAUACAUGACUUAAUUGAAAUGUGAUGAUUUAAAUAUGUGUUAUAUAUACAUAUGUGUGAAGAGAUCCAUGAUUUAAUAUGAAAAUAUAUUAAAGCAUGCUAAAGUGAAUAAUAAGUGAAUAAUAUGUGAUAUGUAAGCAUGUUUACAUGCAACUGUGUGAAAUUGAGAAAUAUGCAUUAAGUGAGACUAUAAGCAUGACUACAUGCUAAAAGUGAUUAAAUGUGUUAAAUUUGAAAAUAGCCAUAUCACAUGCAUAGGGUGGGUGUUGUGAAAGGUGGAAAUUAUGUGGCAGUUUAUCUGGGAUUAUGUGGUCAUUAUCGGCAAUUAUGUAGUGGCUUGUCUACAAAUUGUGUGUUAUUGGAUGAACGAGUUCUGGGGAACUCGAUAUUGGUGUGUAAUGGAGAUGGGUAGGAAAUUCUUCAAAAUGUACAUUGUUACAUAAGCAUGUCUCGAUAUUUAUGUAAAUGUGUAAUAUUGAUGAUAUGAUAUUUCUAUAAAAACUGUAUAUAUUUUGAUUUGGAUGUGUUUAUUCGAUAUGUUGAAAAGCAUGUUAUAUAAUAUAUAUACUUUAUGUUUUUGAUCUCACACUGAGCCUUUUAAAGCUCACCCAUAUUACUGUUGUGUCUUAGGUAAUCCUCGUAAUUAGGACACUGAUGCGGAUUCUCGGUGGUGCUCUCAAAAAUAAAUUUUUAAUAAAAUAUUGGACUUAAUACCUUUUUUAUGGAUUUAUAUGGACUUUGAUUUGGGUUUGUUUUUAUAACUUUUCGGACUUUAUUUUAAUUAUGGACUAUGGCAUGGAGAUUUCUUUUUUUACAAUUCAGAACUAUUGCAUGGAUUGUUUAUGUUGGAAUUACCGUUUCAAAUGAUCAUUAAACAAUUUUAAGAAAUAUUAUCCACUGCAAAUAUGUUUUCAAAACUAAGUUAUAAUACGAGUAUUUUUUUUAUAAAUAUGAUUAAAUAGUUUUAUUUGAAAAGAACAUAAUAUUUUCUCAAUGACAUGUUUUUGAGAACAAAUGGAUUUUCUUAUGAAAGGCAUUUUAGCCAUUCUUCAUGGUUCAUGUAAUCACUCAGGUUGGGUUGUAACGUCUAGGAACGGUUUGAGGGGUUACAAGUACUUUUUUUAUUUCUUGAUGUACUUACUAAGUUUUCAUCGGCUUAACGCAUUUAAUUUUAAUGUGUAGGUUGAAGAUAGAUUUGGAAAGCUCGAACUAAGGUCAUGGUCAGCUCAUCUUAUCACAUUACCAAGCUUGAAGAAGAAUAUGAUACUAGAUUUUGGUUUAGUUUGUCAUGUACAUAGGCUAUGUAAUAAGCCAAUUUAGCCCGGGCUCACCGAAAAAUAAUAAACCCAAAAUAAUAAAACAAAGUCCAAGUCCAGUCCAAAAUUAUAUCAUUUGGCCCAAUCGGAAUGGCCUAUUACUUGAAAAGGUUGAAGGUCAAUCCACAAGUUUGACACAUAUGGAAACAUAAUCUUCAAGGAUAUGCAAUCUUAGAUAUGAUAUGCAAUCUUAGAAGAUAUGAUUUUGUAAUCUUAGAGAUUUAAUUUGUAGAUAUCUUUUAAUCUUAGCCGUUGAUGUAAUUAAUCGGUACCGUUGGAUUUGGGGAGGCUCUACUAUAAAUAAAGGUCUCUCCCUUCAUUGCAAAAGACUUGACUUGGGAGUAAUAAUAAUUAUUAAGAGUAUUCACUC